RNA transcript from Orcinus orca (killer whale), 9175 nucleotides. It is a transcript of the gene named stabilin 1, with no coding region annotated. The record is from RefSeq and is a predicted model, not a curated record. NCBI's taxonomy places the organism in Eukaryota, Metazoa, Chordata, Mammalia, Artiodactyla, Delphinidae. The transcript is spliced from 63 exons.
UGAAGGGCAAAGGGAGCUGCUCUCCCAGGGCCAGAUGCUGGAUGGGUGUCUGUGGAGCCUGGGACAGGGGAGGUGUGAGGGCAUCUUUGGACAGGGCCGUGCUGGGCUGUGGCUAAACCAGGAGCCUCAGGGCAAAUGAGAGGAAUGAAGCUCCUCAGGUGCCCCUGGCACACCGGCUGCUGCCCUGCCAGCCCUCAGGUCAGGACUGUCACACCCGACCUGUUGUGAGGGUUAGGCCUGGCGUCUGGGACGGCUUACUCUGUGGGGUCUAGGGGUCUCACCAGCAUGGCCUGCAGAGGAGGUGGCCCCAGCGGUGGAUAGUGGGGAGGAGGGCUCUGUGCCGUCCGUGUCUGGGUUCAUGUCCUGAGAGAUGAUUGCUUCAGGGAGCUCUGCUGAGGUAGGACGUGGGAUUUCUUUGGGAGCCAGCCCCUGUGCCCAGUCCCUCCUCAACCCAUUUCUACCCCAUAGCAGGGCCCCUGAGGCCCACUUACUUUCUCUCAUCCUGGCCAGUCAGGAGCCUUCGGCCCUAAGGCUGCAGGACCGUUUUGGUCCAGCAGUAUUGGGGAUGGGGGAGGGGCCAGCCGGGUUCCCAGGCCUGCUUCUCAUUUUUCCCUUCGUGCCAGCAGAGUGGGGAUCCGUGCCUGGAGGACCCAUCACCAUCAGGAAGGCUGUGGUGGAUGGGAGGAGCCACCAAGGGGAGGGGAGGGUCUCUGCAUUCACCUCCCCCCAGCCAAAUCUCAAAGACCAGCCCCAUGGCCCCUCAGCUGAUGGGGGAGGGACUGCCCCCAACCAGACCUUUAUCAAAAGCCCGUACAGAUGGGCCACCUGCCUGUCUCCAUCGGUUAUGUCAUACAUAAAUGGGGAUUUAUAGACCAGAGGCAGGGUCCACCAUGCAUAGGCCUUACCACCUAGACUGCUGUUCCCAGGUCCCACAGCCCAACAGUUAGCAGCCGACCCCAGCCUGGGUCCGUGAGGACAGGACCUAAUGGGGGGAGUCCAUGCAAUGUAGUGGGGGGAAGGGCGCCCCACAGGCAGCAGACCUGGGGUUGGAUCUUCACACUGGUUAGCUGAGUGAUCUUAGACAAAUUCCCUAGCCCCUUUGAGCGUCCGUUUCCCCACCAGUAACAGGAUAAUAAAAGUGCCUGCAUUCAUUCAGCCCACAAAUCUGAAGUGAGCAUCCACGCGUGAACCAGCCCGGCCCCUUCCCUGCUCUCCCAUAGCUGGCAUUCCAGUGGGGGACAGAAAAUAAACUAGUGUCAGCUGGUGGCCAGUGCUACGAGGAGGUGAAGGCGGGAGACCUUUGACCUGAGGCUGAACCUUGUGGUGAGUCCUGUGAGGAUCUGGGGUAACGGCAGCACCCAGGGAGCUCGCUCUGUGGUUAUGGAGUAGAAAAGCCUGUGGUGGAACAGAGUUGGGGGUGUGGAGAGCAGGCAGCCGGGUCAGAGAGGCUGGCCUGCUGUGGACAGGGAUGCGGGGCACAGGGGGCAAGCCUCAGGGCUGAGUGGAGAAUGGAUUGGGAAGGGAGGGCCACUGGCAGCAGGGAGGCCUCUCUGGGCGAGAAGGGUGGCGCAGGGACACAUGGGGGAUGGGGAUCCUGGGCAGUGGAGGCCGAGCAGGGCAGGUGCGGGGGAGCAGCCUGAUGACUGUCCACUUAGCAGGGAGUUGGAGGCCUGCACGUGCCCUCAGCAGCUGGAAAGGUAGAGGCAGACGAACCUGAUUCAGAGGCUGCCCUCUCCCCCAGGCACCAGAACCCCCCAGAGCUUCUGAAUGAAACAUGCUGGGCUUGCAGGUACUUGGGGUUGGGGAGUUGUUUGCAUCUGCUCCUGAGUGUGCUUCACAACCUCUGAAACACCCCAGGCUUGUGGCUAAUGGUGGGCUUGGAGACUGACGCCAGGAGGAGGGUCCCGGGCCAGGAAGCCCCAAGCUGGGCCCAGGCGUCCAUGCAGGGGUCAGUGGCCAGCACCUUCCCUUCCGCCUGCAGGCUGCUGAUACGCAGGAGGAAAUCCUGGCGGGUUCCUGUGGGGGUGAGCUGGCGGGGCCUCCCGGCUGCUUUUAAAGCGCCCGCCCUCCCUGUCCUGCCUGCCCGCCCUGUGCCUGCCUCCUAGAGCUCAUUCUCCGCGCCGGCUGCCCCAGUUCUGUCCUGGACAGCGUGCCCGCCAGCCACCACCAGCCAUGGCAGGGCCCCGGGACCACCUCCUGCUCUGCCUGCUGGUCCUCUGCCUGGCAGGCUUCAGCUUCAUCGGGGGGCAGAAGGUACAGUCCAGACGCUGCGACAUGAAGACCAGGUUUGUCACUCACAUACCCUGCACCCCGUGCCCUGCCAUCAAGAAGCGGGUGUGUCCCUCGGGCUGGCUUCGGGAGUUCCCGGAGAAGAUCUCACAGGACUGCCGAUACGAGGUCCAGCUGGGGGACUCUUUGUUGUCUGUGAGCGGCUGCAGCGUGGAGUGCUCGAAGGACGUGGUGCAGAAGGCCUGCUGCCCUGGCUAUUGGGGGUCCCAGUGCUAUGAGUGCCCUGGGGGUGCUGAGACCCCAUGCAACAGCCACGGGACCUGCCUGGAUGGCAUAGACAGGAACGGGACCUGCGUGUGCCAGGAAAACUUCAGUGGCUCAGCCUGCCAGGAGUGUAGAGACCCCAACCGCUUCGGCCCUGACUGCCAGUCAGUCUGCAGCUGUGUGCAUGGCGUGUGCCGCCAUGGGCCACUCGGGGAUGGAAGCUGCCUGUGCUUUGCUGGAUUCACUGGACCCCACUGUGACCAAGAGCUCCCGGUCUGCCAGGCCCUGAACUGUCCUCAGAACUCCCAGUGCUCUGCAGAGACCCCUACCUGCAGCUGCCUGCCUGGCCACACCCAGCAGGGCGGCGAAUGCCUAGCCCCUGACCCCUGCCAGCCGUCACCCUGCUCCCCAGUUGCCCAGUGCUCCGUGAGCCCCAGGGGGCAGGCACAGUGUCGCUGCCCUGAAAACUACCAUGGGGACGGAACGGUGUGUCUGCCCCAGGACCCAUGCACCACCAACAACGGCGGCUGCCCCAGCAACUCCACCUUAUGUCUGUACAAGAGGCCAGGCCAGGCUUCCUGCUCAUGUAAGCCAGGCCUGGUCAGCACCAACCGCAAUGCCUCCGCGGGCUGCUUUGCCUACUGCUUCCCCUACUCCUGUGACCGGUCAGCCACCUGCCAGGUGACCCCUGACGGAAAGACCAGCUGUGUGUGCAAGGACGGCGAGGUGGGAGAUGGGCGUGCCUGCUACGGACACCUACUCCACGAGGUGCAGAAGGCCAGCCAGACGAGCAUGACGUUACUGCGGCUGAGAGUCGCCUUUGCCAUGCUGGACCAGGGCUGCCGGGAGAUCCUCAGCACAUCGGGCCCAUUCACCGUGCUGGCACCGUCCAUAUCCUCUAGGACCAUGAACGCAUCCCUUGCCCAGCAGCUCUGCAGACAGCACAUCAUCGCAGGGCAGCACAUGCUGGAGGAGUCAGGGACCCAGCCUACACGCAGGUGGUGGACACUGGCUGGACAGGAGAUCACCGUCACUUUCGGCCGCUUCAGGCAGAAAUACACCUACAAGUACAAAGACCAGCCCCAGCAAACAUUCACCAUCCACAAGGCCAACUACCCAGCAGCCAAUGGCAUCUUCCACGUGGUCACUGCCCUGCGGUGGCAGCCCCCACCAGAGCUCCCGGAGGACCCCAAGAGGACAAUCGGCCAGAUCCUUGCCUCCACUGAGGCCUUCACCCGGUUUGAAACCAUCCUGGAGAACUGUGGGCUGCCCUCCUUCCUGGAUGGCCCUGGGCCCUUCACAGUCUUUGCCCCCAGCAAUGAGGCAGUGGAUGGCUUGCGGGACGGCCGCCUGGUCUACCUCUUCACAGCGGGUCUCUCCAAACUGCAGGAGCUGGUGAGGUACCAUGUCUAUAGCCACGGCCAGCUGACUGUUGAGAAGCUCAUCUCCAAGGGCCGGGUCCUCACCAUGGCAAAUCAGGUCCUGGCUGUGAAUAUCUCGGAGGAGGGGCGCAUCCUGCUGGGACCUGAGGGGGUACCCCUACGGAGAGUGGACGUGCUGGCUGCCAACGGCGUCAUCCACAUGCUGGAAGGCAUCCUGCUGCCCCCGACCAUCCUGCCCAUCCUGCCCAAGCUUUGCAACGAAGAGCAGCACAAGGUUGUGGCGGGCUCCUGUGUGGACUGCCAAGCCCUGAACACCAGCAUGUGCCCCCCCAACAGCGUGAAGCUGGACAUCUCCCCUGAGGAGUGUGUCUACAUCCAUGACCCUACUGGGCUGAACGUCCUGAAGAAGGGCUGCGCCCACUACUGCAAUCAGACCAUCCUGAAACCUGGCUGCUGCAAAGGGUUUUUUGGGCCUGACUGUGUGCAGUGUCCUGGGGGCUUCUCCAACCCCUGCUAUGGCAAAGGCAACUGCAGUGAUGGGGUCCAGGGCAGUGGGGCCUGCCUCUGCUUCCCAGACUACAAGGGCAUUGCCUGCCACAUCUGCUCCAACCCAAACAAGCAUGGAGACCAGUGCCGGCAAGACUGCGGCUGUGUCCACGGUCUAUGUGACAACCGUCCGGGCAGUGGGGGGGUGUGCCAGCGUGGCACAUGUGCCCCGGGCUUCAGUGGCCGCUUCUGCAACGAGUCCACAGGGAUCUGUGGGCCCACAGAACAGGCCCAGCAGUGCCACCCGCAUGCCCGCUGCGUUAACCAGGGGGAUGUUGCCAGGUGUCUCUGUCUCGAUGGCUUUGAGGGUGACGGCUUCUCCUGCACACCCAGCAACCCCUGCUCUCGCCCAGACCGUGGCGGAUGCUCGGAGAAUGCUGAGUGUGUCCCUGGGGCCCCAGGCACCCACCACUGCACGUGCCACAAGGGCUGGAGUGGGGACGGUCGUGUCUGCGUGGCCAUCGACGAGUGUGAGCUGGAUGUACGAGGCGGCUGCCAUGCUGACGCCCUCUGCAGCUAUGUGGGACCCGGGCAGAGCCAGUGCACCUGCAAGCUGGGAUUUGCGGGGGACGGCUACGUGUGCAGUCCCAUUGACCCCUGCCGGGCAGGCAACGGUGGCUGCCAUGAUCUGGCCACCUGCCGGGCAGUGGGAGGCGGUCAGCGGGUCUGCACAUGCCCCCCUGGCUACGGGGGUGAUGGCUUCAGCUGCUACGGAGACAUCUUCCAGGAGCUGGAGGCAAAUGCCCACUUCUCCAUCUUCUACCAGUGGAUCAAGGGGGCCGGCAUCACUCUUCCUGCUGACAGCCGAGUCACAGCCCUGGUGCCCUCGGAGUCUGCCAUCCGUAGGCUGAGCCCUGAGGACCAGGCCUUCUGGCUGCAGCCGAGGAUGCUACCGCAACUGGUCAGGGCCCAUUUUCUCCAGGGCGCCCUGUCUGAGGAGGAGCUGGCCCGGCUGGAUGGGCAGAGUAUAGCCACCCUGAGCCCCACCACACGCUGGGAGAUUCACAACAUCAGUGGGAGAGUCUGGGUGCAGAAUGCCAGCGUGGACGUGGCUGACCUCCUUGCCACCAAUGGUGUCCUACAUGUCCUCAGUCAGGUCUUACUGCCUCCAAGAGGGGAUGUGCUGGGGGGGCAGGGGUUGCUGCAGCAGCUGGACUCAGUGCCUGCCUUCCGCCUCUUCCGGGAGCUGCUGCAGCGCCACAGGCUGGUACCCCAGAUUGAGGCUGCCACCGCCUACACCAUCUUCGUGCCAACCAACCACUCUCUGGAGGCCCAGGCCAACAGCAGCGGCCUGGACUUGGACGUAGUGCGACACCAUGUGAUCCUGGGGGAGGCGCUUUCCACAGAGGCCCUGCGCAGGGGCGGACACCGCAACUCCCUACUGGGCCCCACGCACUGGCUUGUCUUCUACAACCAUAGCGGCCAGCCUGAGGUGAACCAUGUGCCGCUGGAAGGCCCUGUGCUGGAGGCCCCUGGCCGCUCACUGUUUGGCCUGUCCGGGGUCCUGACGGUGGGCUCAAGCCGCUGCCUGCACAGCCACGCAGAGGCCCUGCGGGAGAAAUGUGUAAAUUGCACCCGGAAAUUCCGCUGCACUCAAGGCUACCAGCUGGAGGACACCCCCAAGAAGAGCUGUGUCUACCGGUCUGGCUACUCCUUCUCCCGGGGCUGUUCUUACACGUGUGCCAAGAAGAUCCAGGUGCCUGACUGCUGCCCUGGCUUCUUCGGCACACUGUGUGAGCCGUGCCCGGGGGGUCUGGGUGGUGUGUGCUCGGGCCACGGGCAGUGUCAGGACAGGCUCCUGGGCAGUGGGGAGUGCCGCUGCCACGAGGGCUUCCACGGAACGGCCUGUGAGAUGUGUGAGCUGGGCCGCUACGGGCCCAACUGCACUGGAGUGUGUGACUGUGCCCACGGGCUGUGCCAGGAGGGGCUCCGAGGGGACGGAAGCUGUGUCUGUAACGUGGGUUGGCAGGGCCUCCGCUGUGACCAGAAAAUCACUGGCCCUCAGUGCCCACAGAAGUGUGACCCCAAUGCCAACUGCGUCCAGGACUUGGCUGCAGCCCCUGCCUGUGUCUGUGCCGCGGGGUACUCGGGCAACGGCAUCUACUGUGCAGUGGUGGACCCUUGUGCCCAUGACCAUGGGGGCUGCUCCCCCUACGCCAACUGCACCAAUGUGGCACCUGGUCAGCGGACAUGCACCUGCCUGGAUGGCUACACGGGUGAUGGGGAGCUGUGCCAGGAAGUUAACGGCUGUCUCAUCCACCACGGGGGCUGCCACAUGCACGCCGAAUGUAUCCCCACCGGCCCCCAGCAGGUCUCCUGCAGCUGCCGCGAGGGUUACAGUGGGGACGGCAUCCGGACUUGUGUGCUCCUGGACCCCUGCUCCCAGAACAAUGGAGGCUGCAGCCCCUAUGCUGUGUGCAAAAGCACAGGGGAUGGCCAGAGGAUGUGUACCUGCGAUGCAGUCCACACUGUGGGUGAUGGCUUCACCUGCCGUGCCCGAGUCGGCCUGGAGCUCCUUCGGGACAAGCAUGCCUCAUUCUUCAGCCUCCAUCUCCUGGAAUACAAGGAGCUCAAGGGGGAUGGGCCUUUCACAAUCUUUGUGCCGCAUGCAGAUCUAAUGACCAACCUGUCGCAGGAUGAGCUGGCCCGGAUUCGUGCCAAUCGCCAGCUUGUGUUCCGCUAUCACGUGGCUGGUUGCCAGCAGCUGCGAAGCCAGGAGCUGCUAGAGGAGGGCUAUGCCACCACACUCUCCGGGCACCCGCUGCGCUUCAGUGAGAGGGAGGGCAACAUAUACAUCAAUGACUUCGCGCGCCUGGUGAGCAGCGACCACGAGGCUGUGAACGGUGUCUUGCAUUUCAUCGACCGUGUCCUGCUGCCACCUGAAGCGCUGCACUGGGAGCCUGACGCUGCCCCGAUUCCGCAGAGAAACUUCACCGCCGCUGCGGAGAGCUUCGGUUACAAGAUCUUCAGUGGCCUUGUGACGAUGGCUGGCCUGCUGCCCCUGCUUCGAGAUUCAUUCCAUAGGCCCUUCACAAUGCUGUGGCCCACAGACUCCGCCCUGCAAGCCUUGCCUCCCGAUCGCCAGGUCUGGCUAUACCAUAAAGACCACCGUGACAAGCUGGCAGCUAUUGUGCGGGGCCACGUGAUCCGCAACGUCGAGGCCUUGGCAUCUGACCUGCCCAACCUGGGCCCACUGCGCACCAUGCAUGGGACCCCCAUCUCCUUCUCCUGCAGCCGUGCCCGGCCGGGUGAGCUCACGGUGGGAGAGGAGGACGCCCGGAUUGUGCAGCGACACCUGCCCUUUGAGGGGGGCCUGGCUUACGGCAUCGAUCAGCUGCUGGAGCCACCUGGCCUCGGUGCCCGGUGUGACCGCUUUGAAACUCGGCCUCUGUGGCUGAAGGUUUGCAGCGUUUGUGGGCUGGAACCACCCUGUCCUGAGGGCUCACAGGAGCAGGGCAGCCCUGAGGGCUGCUGGCGCUACUUCUCAAAGUUCUGGACGUCUCCUCCGCUGCACUCCCUGGCACUGCGCAGUGUUUGGGCCCGGCCCAGCCACUGGGGUCAGCCCCAAGGCCUGGGCAGGGGCUGCUACCGCAACUGUGUCACCACCACCUGGAAGCCCAGCUGCUGCCCUGGUCACUAUGGCAGUGAGUGCCGAGCUUGCCCUGGGGGUGCCAGCAGCCCCUGUAAUGGCCAUGGCACAUGCAUGGACGGCAUGAGCGGCAGCGGGAACUGUAGGUGCCAUUCGAGGUUUGCCGGGAUGGCAUGUGAACUCUGUGCCCCAGGUGCCUUUGGGCCCCUUUGCCAAGCCUGCAACUGUACCUCCCAUGGCCACUGCGAUGAGGGCCUGGGGGGCUCUGGCUCCUGCUUCUGUGAUGAGGGCUGGACUGGGCCACACUGUGAGGUGCAGCUGGAGCUGCAGCCUGUGUGUGCUCCACCUUGCGCAUCCCAGGCCGUGUGCCGCGCUGGCCACAGCUGUGAGUGCAGCCUGGGCUACGAAGGGGAUGGCCGCACGUGCACAGUGGUAGACCUGUGCCAGCAUGGGCGUGGCGGGUGCAGCGAGCAUGCCAACUGCAGCCAGGUAGGCACAGUGGUCACCUGCACCUGCCUGCCCGACUACGAGGGUGAUGGCUGGAGCUGCCGGGCCCGCAACCCCUGUGAGGAUGGCCACCGUGGGGGCUGCAGCGAGCACGCUGACUGCCUGAGCACUGGACCGAACACACGGCGCUGUGCGUGCCAUGCUGGCUACGUGGGUGAUGGACUGCAGUGUCUGGAGGAGCCUGAGCCGCCCGUGGACCGCUGCCUGGACCAGCCACCACCCUGUCACGUGGACGCUGUGUGCACUGACCUGCACUUCCAGGCUGGGCUUCCACCUCUGCCUUGUGGGCUGGCUGGCCAAUGGCUCGGCUGCCCAUCCCGUCGUUUUCCCGGCAGCAGACUGUGGCGAUGGUCAGGUGGGCGUGGUCAGUCUGGGUGCCCGGGAGAACCUGUCGGAGUGCUGGGACGCCUACUGCUACCGCAUGCAAGACGUGGCCUGCCGAUGCCGCGAUGGCUUCGUGGGUGAUGGGGCCAGCGUGUGCAAUGGGAAGCUGCUUGAUGUACUGGCCACCACUGCCAACUUCUCCACCUUCUACGGGAUGCUACUGGGUUAUGCCAAUGCCACCCCGAGGGGUCUCGACUUCCUGGACUUCCUGGACGACGAGCUCACCUACAAGACACUCUUCGUCCCUGUCAACGAAGGCUUUAUGGACAACCUG